GACGAACGCUGGCGGCGUGCCUAAUACAUGCAAGUAGAACGCUGAAGAGAGGAGCUUGCUCUUCUUGGAUGAGUUGCGAACGGGUGAGUAACGCGUAGGUAACCUGCCUUGUAGCGGGGGAUAACUAUUGGAAACGAUAGCUAAUACCGCAUAACAAUGGAUGACACAUGUCAUUUAUUUGAAAGGGGCAAUUGCUCCACUACAAGAUGGACCUGCGUUGUAUUAGCUAGUAGGUGAGGUAAUGGCUCACCUAGGCGACGAUACAUAGCCGACCUGAGAGGGUGAUCGGCCACACUGGGACUGAGACACGGCCCAGACUCCUACGGGAGGCAGCAGUAGGGAAUCUUCGGCAAUGGGGGCAACCCUGACCGAGCAACGCCGCGUGAGUGAAGAAGGUUUUCGGAUCGUAAAGCUCUGUUGUAAGUCAAGAACGGGUGUGAGAGUGAAAGUUCACACUGUGACGGUAGCUUACCAGAAAGGGACGGCUAACUACGUG
This 496-nucleotide ribosomal RNA is filed under the name uncultured bacterium. RNAcentral's name for it is "partial 16S ribosomal RNA". It matches the Rfam family "Bacterial small subunit ribosomal RNA", at positions 28 to 507 of the family's 1533-position model. The record is from RNAcentral.